AAAUGCCUAAAACCUUUGGCCUUUCAGUUUCUCCAGUUUUAGAGGGGCAGGGUAUUGAUCUUAUAUAUGGAGAACGUCUUCAAGCAAACAUCUUAUUACUUCCAUAAGGAUUCUACUCCAUCUUUGUCACCACUAAUGUUGGUAAGAACUCGCGUUGUUUUAUGUUUACUUUGAAUAUAUUAUAAUGGUAACUCACGAUUAUUUUCAAUAUAUUCUUCAUUCCCAUGUUUCUGAGUGGAUAACUACGUUGUGCAAAUUCAGAAGGUCCACAAAAUUUAAUAUCUCUGAAUUUCGAUGCCUCGAAGUUAAGAAAUUUUGUGCCCAAGUGAGUUUACAAGGAUUGGAGGAAGGUAUGUCAUGAUUUUUAGAGUCGGCUAUUUAACUUUUUAUUGCUAAGAGAAUGUUGAUGUAGAAUUUCAUGAAAUACAAUAUUGCAUUUGCAAUCAAUUCUGGGUAUUGAUUGAAAAAUAUAUCCUUAAGGAGAAAUUUGUUUUAUGAUUUAAGAAGGGAAGAAGUUGUUGACAGGCUUGGGAGGAAGACGGAAGCUGAGGUUAAAGGAAUAAAAAAUUGGUAUUAUCAUUAACUUUUUUCUACUUCUUUUUAUUUCUGAUUCUUCUUUCAUUUUCCUGAAAGUGUCUUUUUUGUUUUAUUUUUUGCAUUUUCUAAUAUAUAGAAGAGGCUUGGAAGUAGCUGGGCGUUGUCUUGCCAGCUUGCCAACCAAGGCCUCUUCCUGUCAUUUCAUGUGUAACUUUUUUAAAGUCAUUGAUCAUUUAAAUAUUGUUGUGAGUUUUGAUUGG
This 797-nucleotide long non-coding RNA is filed under the name Nicotiana tabacum (common tobacco). RNAcentral describes it as "long non-coding RNA (NTAB_LNC018794)". The record is from RNAcentral. Lineage: Eukaryota; Viridiplantae; Streptophyta; Magnoliopsida; Solanales; Solanaceae.